GAUGAACGCUAGCGGGAGGCCUAACACAUGCAAGCCGAGCGGUAUUGUUUCUUCGGAAAUGAGAGAGCGGCGUACGGGUGCGUAACACGUGUGCAACCUGCCUUUAUCUGGGGAAUAGCCUUUCGAAAGGAAGAUUAAUCCUCCAUAAUAUAUUAAACGGAAUCGUUUAAUAUUAAAGGCUCCGCCGGUUAGAGAUGGGCACGCGCAAGAUUAGCUAGUUGGUGAGGUAACGGCUCACCAAGCCGAUGAUCUUUAGGGGGCCUGAGAGGGUGAUCCCCCACACUGGUACUGAGACACGGACCAGACUCCUACGGGAGGCAGCAGUGAGGAAUAUUGGUCAAUGGGUGCAAGCCUGAACCAGCCAUCCCGCGUGAAGGACGACUGCCCUAUGGGUUGUAAACUUCUUUUGUAUAGGGAUAAACCUACCCUCGAGAGGGUAGCUGAAGGUACUAUACGAAUAAGCACCGGCUAACUCCGUG
This 479-nucleotide ribosomal RNA is filed under the name uncultured bacterium. RNAcentral describes it as "partial 16S ribosomal RNA". It matches the Rfam family "Bacterial small subunit ribosomal RNA", at positions 28 to 507 of the family's 1533-position model. The record is from RNAcentral.